This 45-nucleotide non-coding RNA is filed under the name Schistosoma margrebowiei. Lineage: Eukaryota; Metazoa; Platyhelminthes; Trematoda; Strigeidida; Schistosomatidae. The record is from RNAcentral.
AUCCAGCUGAUGAGUUUUAAGUAGGACGAAACGCGCGUCCUGGAU